CCUACGGGGGGCAGCAGUGGGGAAUAUUGCACAAUGGGCGCAAGCCUGAUGCAGCCAUGCCGCGUGUGUGAAGAAGGCCUUCGGGUUGUAAAGCACUUUCAGCGGGGAGGAAGGCGUUAAGGUUAAUAACCUUGGCGAUUGACGUUACCCGCAGAAGAAGCACCGGCUAACUCCGUGCCAGCAGCCGCGGUAAUACGGAGGGUGCAAGCGUUAAUCGGAAUUACUGGGCGUAAAGCGCACGCAGGCGGUCUGUCAAGUCGGAUGUGAAAUCCCCGGGCUCAACCUGGGAACUGCAUUCGAAACUGGCAGGCUAGAGUCUUGUAGAGGGGGGUGGAAUUCCAGGUGUAGCGGUGAAAUGCGUAGAGAUCUGGAGGAAUACCGGUGGCGAAGGCGGCCCCCUGGACAAAGACUGACGCUCAGGUGCGAAAGCGUGGGGAGCAAACAGGAUUAGAUACCCGAGUAGUC
RNAcentral lists this ribosomal RNA (465 nucleotides) under uncultured Klebsiella sp. RNAcentral's name for it is "bacterial SSU rRNA". It matches the Rfam family "Bacterial small subunit ribosomal RNA", at positions 338 to 795 of the family's 1533-position model. Lineage: Bacteria; Pseudomonadati; Pseudomonadota; Gammaproteobacteria; Enterobacterales; Enterobacteriaceae. The record is from RNAcentral.